RNAcentral lists this long non-coding RNA (717 nucleotides) under Homo sapiens (human). RNAcentral describes it as "HSALNT0342229". Lineage: Eukaryota; Metazoa; Chordata; Mammalia; Primates; Hominidae. The record is from RNAcentral.
UUAGGCAGGCUGCAGUGGAGGAGGGUACGCCGUUCCAUUGGCGUGGUACUGUCGGCGGCCCUUCAGAGGAGAUGCUGCCCCACGGAACGCCUGGCAAGUGCUGGCGAAGCGGCAUGGGCGUCCCACUCCGUUCCUCAACCAAUUUCCUCACAAUCGCGAGCCGAAGUGUGGCGCUUUGGCAGUUUCGCAAGGUCUUUUGUCAGGAGAUGAGUUACUGAGGAUUGGGGGUCUUUGGAGCUCUUGGACCUGAAGAACGAUUAAGUUUUUCUCCCUUCAGAGAGCCAAGAGAUGGGGUCUUGCUGUGUUGCCCAGGGUGGAGUGCAGUGGCUAUUCACAGAAGCUUCCAGCCUUCAGAUUUGAACUGGGACACUGGCUCUGCAGAUUUUGGACUUGCCAGCCUUCAUAAUUGUAACCUACACUCCUGUCAUUUGUGGAAUGAUUGCUGGAGCCAGAGGCCAGGAAGAAGUUCAUGAGCCUGAGAGAAAAAGCAAGGAUUUCCAGUUCUACCCUGUAAGUCACUGAGCUCACUGAGCUUCAUUUUUCUUAUCCAUCAAAUGGGGAUAUUGAUUUUUUUUUUUUUUUUGAGACCAAGUUUCAUUCUUGUCACCCAGGCUGGAGUACAGUGGCGUGCUCUCGUCUCACUGCUACCUCUGGCUUCCGGGUUCGAGUGAUUCUCCUACCUCAGCCUCCUGAGUAACUGGGAUUACAAGUGUGUAC